GACGAACGCUGGCGGCGUGCCUAAUACAUGCAAGUAGAACGCUGAAGGAGGAGCUUGUUUCUCCGGAUGAGUUGCGAACGGGUGAGUAACGCGUAGGUAACCUGCCUGGUAGCGGGGGAUAACUAUUGGAAACGAUAGCUAAUACCGCAUAACAGUAGAUAUUGCAUGAUAUCUGCUUGAAAGGUGCAAUUGCAUCACUACCAGAUGGACCUGCGUUGUAUUAGCUAGUUGGUGAGGUAACGGCUCACCAAGGCGACGAUACAUAGCCGACCUGAGAGGGGGAUCGGCCACACUGGGACUGAGACACGGCCCAGACUCCUACGGGAGGCAGCAGUAGGGAAUCUUCGGCAAUGGACGGAAGUCUGACCGAGCAACGCCGCGUGAGUGAAGAAGGUUUUCGGAUCGUAAAGCUCUGUUGUAAGAGAAGAACGAGUGUGAGAGUGGAAAGUUCACACUGUGACGGUAUCUUACCAGAAAGGGACGGCUAACUACGUG
This 495-nucleotide ribosomal RNA is filed under the name uncultured bacterium. Its description in RNAcentral is "partial 16S ribosomal RNA". It matches the Rfam family "Bacterial small subunit ribosomal RNA", at positions 28 to 507 of the family's 1533-position model. The record is from RNAcentral.